This 319-nucleotide unclassified non-coding RNA is filed under the name Hevea brasiliensis (rubber tree). The record is from RNAcentral. Lineage: Eukaryota; Viridiplantae; Streptophyta; Magnoliopsida; Malpighiales; Euphorbiaceae.
GGUUCCAUCUAGGAAGCUAUCAGUUAGCCUGGAAAGAGGCACCGGACGAGGGACAGGCGCAGCUUGUGCCUUGGACUUAAAGACAGUAGUAUGGAAAUAUCGACUCUGAGAAGGAAUGACCCGUGUUCUAGUUGUGUAUGAUCCACUCUGAGAUAAAGUCCUCCGAAUGGCAAGCCUUGCCACACUAGUGCCAGCUCUAAACCACGCCAUAGAGAACAAUGCAAACUACUAAAUACCACAGAUUUCUCAAAGAUUGUACUACCCCGGAUCAAACCUCAAGUACGAACAUAUGUAUUUUCUCUUAUAGAACAAGUCCUGC